UACGUAGGGUGCGAGCGUUAAUCGGAAUUACUGGGCGUAAAGCGUGCGCAGGCGGUUGUGUAAGACAGGUGUGAAAUCCCCGGGCUUAACCUGGGAAUGGCGAUGGAGACUGUAAGGCUAGAGUUUGGCAGAGGGGGGUAGAGUUCCACGUGUAGCAGUGAAAUGCGUAGAGAUGUGGAGGAACACCGAUGGCGAAGGCAGCCCCCUGGGUCAAAACUGACGCUCAUGCACGAAAGCGUGGGGAGCAAACAGGAUUAGAAACCCCGGUAGU
RNAcentral lists this ribosomal RNA (271 nucleotides) under uncultured bacterium. Its description in RNAcentral is "partial 16S ribosomal RNA". It matches the Rfam family "Bacterial small subunit ribosomal RNA", at positions 524 to 794 of the family's 1533-position model. The record is from RNAcentral.